CAACCACCAAGCCCUGCUUGUGUUGGGGCCCUGCGGCUGCCCGCAGGCCCUGAAAACCAGUGGCGGGCUCGCUAGUCACACCGAGCGCAGUAAGCACAUUCUCGCUCAGGGCGUGCGGCGGGUUCUUGCCGUGAAAAACCCCCCUGUACCCUCACAA
RNAcentral lists this unclassified non-coding RNA (157 nucleotides) under uncultured Lasiosphaeriaceae. RNAcentral's name for it is "sequence contains ITS2". The record is from RNAcentral. Lineage: Eukaryota; Fungi; Ascomycota; Sordariomycetes; Sordariales; Lasiosphaeriaceae.